AACGAACGCUGGCGGCAGGCCUAACACAUGCAAGUCGAACGCCCAGUAAUGGGAGUGGCGCACGGGUGCGUAACGCGUGGGAAUAUGCCCUUAACUACGGGACAACGUCGGGAAACUGACGCUAAUACCGUAUAAUGUCUUCGGACCAAAGAUUUAUCGGUCAGGGAUUAGCCCGCGUUAGAUUAGCUAGUUGGUGAGGUAACGGCUCACCAAGGCAACGAUCUAUAGCUGGUCUGAGAGGAUGAUCAGCCACACUGGAACUGAGACACGGUCCAGACUCCGACGGGAGGCAGCAGUGAGGAAUAUGGACAAUGGGGGAAACCCUGAUCCAGCCAUGCCGCGUGAGUGACGAAGGCCUUCGGGUUGUAAAGCUCUUUUAACGGUGAAGAUAAUGACGGUAGCCGUAGAAAAAGCCCCGGCUAAAUUCGUGCCAGCCGCCGCGGUAA
Molecule: ribosomal RNA, 446 nt
Filed under: uncultured bacterium
Lineage: Bacteria
Description: partial 16S ribosomal RNA
Rfam family: Bacterial small subunit ribosomal RNA
Source: RNAcentral